GACGAACGCUGGCGGCGUGCUUAACACAUGCAAGUCGAACGGAAAGGCCUGCUUUCCCUUGUGGAUUGCGGGUACUCGAGUGGCGAACGGGUGAGUAACACGUGAGUGAUCUGCCCCCAACUUGGGUAUAAGCCUGGGAAACUGGGUCUAAUUCCCGAUAGGACUGCAGGGUGGUGCCUGUGGUGGCAAACGAUUUUCUAGUGGUUGGGGAUGAGCUCGCGGCCUAUCAGCUUGUUGGUGGGGUAAUGGCCUACCAAGGCGGCGACGGGUAGCCGGCCUGGGAGGGUGGACGGCCACAUUGGGACUGGGAUACGGCCCAGACUCCUACGGGAGGCAGCAGUGGGGAAUAUUGCACAAUGGGCGGAAGCCUGAUGCAGCGACGCCGCGUGGGGGAUGACGGCCUUCGGGUUGUAAACUCCUUUCGACCGCGAGGAAGCCACCUGGUUGGAAGGGUGGUGACGGUAGUGGUAGAAGAAGCACCGGCUAACUACGUG
Molecule: ribosomal RNA, 494 nt
Filed under: uncultured bacterium
Lineage: Bacteria
Description: partial 16S ribosomal RNA
Rfam family: Bacterial small subunit ribosomal RNA
Source: RNAcentral